CACAGGUGCUGCAUGGCUGUCGUCAGCUCGUGCUGUGAAGUGUCGGGUUAAGUCCCUUAACGAGCGCAACCCUUAUCGCUAGUUGCCAGCGCGUCAUGGCGGGGACUCUAGCGAGACUGCCGGUGUCAAACCGGAGGAAGGUGGGGAUGACGUCAAGUCCUCAUGGCCCUUACGCCCAGGGUGGCAAACGUGCUACAAUGGCGUGUACAAAGCGAUGC
This 218-nucleotide ribosomal RNA is filed under the name Alexandrium margalefii. RNAcentral describes it as "partial Bacterial small subunit ribosomal RNA". It matches the Rfam family "Bacterial small subunit ribosomal RNA", at positions 1033 to 1250 of the family's 1533-position model. Lineage: Eukaryota; Dinophyceae; Gonyaulacales; Pyrocystaceae. The record is from RNAcentral.